GACGAACGCUGGCGGCGUGCUUAAUACAUGCAAGUCAACGAUUUUUAAGAUAGCAAUAUUUUAAAAAUAGUGGCGCACGGUGAGUAACACGUAGAUAAUCUGCCUUUAGGUCUGACAUAACUCGUCGAAAGACGGGCUAAUAUCAGAUAAAACAAUAACUUGGCAUCAAGUAAUUGUCAAAAGCUUCGGCGCCCAAAGAUGAGUCUGCGGACCAUUAGGUAUUGGGGGAUUAACAGCCCACCAAGCCAACGAUGGAUAGCUGGUCUGAGAGGAUGAUCAGCCACACUGGAACUGAGACACGGUCCAGACUCCUAC
RNAcentral lists this ribosomal RNA (315 nucleotides) under uncultured bacterium. RNAcentral describes it as "bacterial SSU rRNA". It matches the Rfam family "Bacterial small subunit ribosomal RNA", at positions 28 to 342 of the family's 1533-position model. The record is from RNAcentral.